GCGGCGGUAGCCCAGUUGAUGGACACCUUCAAGCAGGGCGGCGGCUUCAGUGUCGAGCAGGAUCGCUGGACCGAGGCGCGCAAGCUGUUCGAUUCGCUGGCCGUG
Molecule: transfer RNA, 105 nt
Filed under: Pseudomonas sp. 1
Lineage: Bacteria; Pseudomonadati; Pseudomonadota; Gammaproteobacteria; Pseudomonadales; Pseudomonadaceae
Also listed under: 2 other names
Description: tRNA-OTHER
Source: RNAcentral